AAUUAUAUAGUUUAAUUUUUUUAAAAACAUUAUAUUUUCAUUAUAAAAAUAAGAACCCUUUUCUUUAUAAUUA
This 73-nucleotide transfer RNA is filed under the name Agenocimbex maculatus. Its description in RNAcentral is "tRNA-Glu". The record is from RNAcentral. Lineage: Eukaryota; Metazoa; Arthropoda; Insecta; Hymenoptera; Cimbicidae.